Long non-coding RNA from Vespa mandarinia (Asian giant hornet), 1298 nucleotides. RefSeq lists it as uncharacterized. The record is from RefSeq and is a predicted model, not a curated record. Lineage: Eukaryota; Metazoa; Arthropoda; Insecta; Hymenoptera; Vespidae.
AGAGAGAGAGAGAGAGAGAGAGAGAGAGAGAGAGAGAGAGAGAGAGAGAUAAAGAUGAUAAUUGCUAAGGAUAUAUUCGUACGACGAUUACCUACAAUAAAUAUAGAAUAUAGAAUCACGAUCCUUGAACUUCGCUACCUGACGCCAUUUUGAAAACGGCUAGGAAAUCUCUAAAUUGAGAAUUAAUUCCUCAAAACACUUACUAUAUUUACUUUCUAUAUAUAUUUCUAGAUUGUAUUAUGUAAAACAUAAUAUGUACAUAUUCAAAAAAAAAUUAUCAAUCCUUGUGGAAGAAAACGUUGGACUAUUGAUUUAAAAAAAAGAGGAUGGGAGGGAGAGAGGGAGGGGGAGGGAAGGGGCGGGAGGGAGAGGGAGAGAGAGAAAGAAAAGAAAAAAAGAGAGAGAAAUAUCGAAAGAAUAUCGAUAAAGACGGCUAGAAUAAUUUUUACCCGAGAAUUAAUAUAAUGAUCGAUAACCCAGUUUAGAUUCCGGACACUUCAACUACGAGAGUCAAGAGCGUUAUACUGCGCAGGACAGAACUACGUGAUCUUCGUAUAUGUUAUGUGUACGUGUAACGGACGAGUCAAAGUACGCGCGGCGGAACAGGAACGACCGGAAUCGCAGCAGCUGAAUCGACCGACCCUUUUCUCUCGUCUCCAUCGUGGUAAAGCGCGAAGGUUCUUUAAAAAUGGCGUAGAUGGGUCUUUUUUUUAUAUCCACGAGGACGGCUGAUAGAUAAAGAGGUUAAAAAAAAAAAAAGAAAAAAGAAAAGAGAGAGAGAGAGAGAGAGAGAAAAUUUUAAGACAAAGAUAAAGGAUUGUAUUAGAAAAUUAUCUUAUAUAGCCCGAUAAAUUUUCCGUUAGACGUCACGCUGCACUUUGUCCCGAAUAAUCGUAAAGGAAGAAACAAAAAAGAUGACAAUGAGAACAACAAUGACCGAUAACGAUGAAUAACUAAAAAGUAUAUACCAUAAAGUCUAUAAUAAUGAAUGAAAAGAAAAAAGAAAAAAAAAUGUGUAUAUAUGUGUUUAUGUGUAUGUGUAUAUAGUUAAAAUGCAAGUGAUACUACAGGAAAAUCUUACUAGGAUUAAGAAUAUUCCAGAAACAAGGAUCGCCAGCAGCAUUGACGUUGGUCAUAACUGCGUUGCUAUCGUUGUUGCUCUUCCGCGCGGAAUUUUCUUUCUCCGGCAUUGGGCACGCCGGUGCUACAGUCUCCGAAUCCAUUUUACGUCUCUUACUUUUGUUGCGGAGAGAGGAAAAGAGAGAGAGAGAGAGACAAAGAGAAACAAAGAGAGAAAG